GGCGGGGUACAGCUCAGUGGUAGAGUACGUGCUUAGCAUGCUUGAGGUCCUGGGUUCAAUCCCUAGUCCCUCCA
Molecule: non-coding RNA, 74 nt
Organism: Camelus ferus (Wild Bactrian camel)
Lineage: Eukaryota; Metazoa; Chordata; Mammalia; Artiodactyla; Camelidae
Source: Rfam